GCCUUUGUGGUGUAGUGGUUCUGCACGCUGGGCCGUUAUUCCAGAGGUCCGUGGUUCGAUUCCCGGCGAAGGCG
This 74-nucleotide transfer RNA is filed under the name Stegodyphus dumicola. Its description in RNAcentral is "tRNA-Asn". It matches the Rfam family "tRNA". From Rfam's summary of the family: Transfer RNA (tRNA) molecules are approximately 80 nucleotides in length. Their secondary structure includes four short double-helical elements and three loops (D, anti-codon, and T loops). Further hydrogen bonds mediate the characteristic L-shaped molecular structure. tRNAs have two regions of fundamental functional importance: the anti-codon, which is responsible for specific mRNA codon recognition, and the 3' end, to which the tRNAs corresponding amino acid is attached (by aminoacyl-tRNA synthetases). tRNAs cope with the degeneracy of the genetic code in two manners: having more than one tRNA (with a specific anti-codon) for a particular amino acid; and 'wobble' base-pairing, i.e. permitting non-standard base-pairing at the 3rd anti-codon position. The record is from RNAcentral. Lineage: Eukaryota; Metazoa; Arthropoda; Arachnida; Araneae; Eresidae.